GACGAACGCUGGCGGCGUGCUUAACACAUGCAAGUCGAACGGAAAGGCCCUGCUUUUGUGGGGUGCUCGAGUGGCGAACGGGUGAGUAACACGUGAGUAACCUGCCCUUGACUUUGGGAUAACUUCAGGAAACUGGGGCUAAUACCGGAUAGGAGCUCCUGCUGCAUGGUGGGGGUUGGAAAGUUUCGGCGGUUGGGGAUGGACUCGCGGCUUAUCAGCUUGUUGGUGGGGUAGUGGCUUACCAAGGCUUUGACGGGUAGCCGGCCUGAGAGGGUGACCGGCAACAUGGGGGUGGAGAGAGGCCCCAGCCGCGUCGGGGGGGCAGCGGGGGGAAAUAUGACAAAGGGGGCGCACGCCUGAGACGCAACCCCCGGGGGGGGAAUGCCGGCUUGCGGGUGGUAAACGGCUUUCGCCUGUAACGAAGCGGGGGUGACGGUAAGGGAAAAAAAAGCCCCGGCUAACUCCGUG
Molecule: ribosomal RNA, 468 nt
Filed under: uncultured bacterium
Lineage: Bacteria
Description: partial 16S ribosomal RNA
Rfam family: Bacterial small subunit ribosomal RNA
Source: RNAcentral